Molecule: ribosomal RNA, 500 nt
Filed under: uncultured bacterium
Lineage: Bacteria
Description: partial 16S ribosomal RNA
Rfam family: Bacterial small subunit ribosomal RNA
Source: RNAcentral
AUUGAACGCUGGCGGCAGGCCUAACACAUGCAAGCCGAGCGGAUGAGGGGAGCUUGCUCCUUGAUUCAGCGGCGGACGGGUGAGUAAUGCCUAGGAAUCUGCCUGGUAGAGGGGGAUAACGUUCCGAAAGGAACGCUAAUACCGCAGACGUCCUACGGGAGAAAGCAGGGGACCUUCGGGCCUCGCGCUAUCAGAUGAGCCUAGGUCGGAUUAGCUAGUUGGUGAGGUAAUGGCUCACCAAGGCGACGAUCCGUAACUGGUCUGAGAGGAUGCUCAGUCACACUGGAACUGAGACACGGUCCAGACUCCUACGGGAGGCAGCAGUGGGGAAUAUUGGACAAUGGGCGAAAGCCUGAUCCAGCCAUGCCGCGUGUGUGAAGAAGGUCUUCGGAUUGUAAAGCACUUUAAGUUGGGAGGAAGGGCAGUAAGUUAAUACCUUGCUGUUUUGACGUUACCGACAGAAUAAGCACCGGCUAACUCUGUGCCAGCAGCCGCCGUAA